GCCUAUAUAUAAGGGGUAGAGGGGACAAGCAGGCAUAAAAACAUAACAAGCAAAAGUGAAAGAAACAGAGAAAUGAGACCCUCAAUGAGCUUGUUUAUUACUAGUUUCCUAGUACUCAUGGUUUUUUCAGGAGCCUUUGCAAGACACCAUAAAUCUCCGCCGCCGGAACCGUCACCUAAUAAUCUUCCCUUCUCAAAAUCUCCAUCACUGCACAAGAAAUAUCUACCACCACCUCACCACCAUGAUGAGUCACCGCCAUCAGUACCUGAUCAAAUUUAUCAUAUACCUCCAUUUCCUCUUACCUGAGAGGUCUUGAAAGGAAAAUUGAAAGCAAGCCCUACUUCAAUAAAUGGAAGAUUUUUCAUCUAAAUAUGAUAAAAGGAAUAGUAUCUACGUGUGCUCAUAGCUGUUGGUGAACAAAUGAAAUAAAAUUUAGAAAACUGCCAUGCAAGAAUUAAUUGUAAUGUGGUUUUUAGUGUUGAACAAGCUUUUUCUCUUUUAUAUGAUAAUAAAAUUUGUUAAGCUUUGCGAGGAA
Long non-coding RNA from Manihot esculenta (cassava), 535 nucleotides. RefSeq lists it as uncharacterized. NCBI's taxonomy places the organism in Eukaryota, Viridiplantae, Streptophyta, Magnoliopsida, Malpighiales, Euphorbiaceae. The record is from RefSeq and is a predicted model, not a curated record. The transcript has 2 exons.